Molecule: long non-coding RNA, 639 nt
Filed under: Oreochromis niloticus (Nile tilapia)
Lineage: Eukaryota; Metazoa; Chordata; Actinopteri; Cichliformes; Cichlidae
Description: lncRNA (ENSONIG00000035464.1)
Source: RNAcentral
CUCACAUAUAAUCGCCAUGCUCCAUUUCAGCGGAGCACGUUCGUUUUCCCAGCAAAUGCUAAAACUGAAGGAUCUUGUUUAACCGGCUAUUAUUGAUCUAGAUAGAGUAAUGUGAAGGCUUUUAAAGAAUUCCGUUGAGUUGCGCUUAGUUUUAAAAAAAAAUCAGAAAAAGGGAUGAUUGAGGAAUGUGAUGGUUAUUUCAUGGUGAAGAAGCGUGCAGCCUGCCGCCGCGCGCUGUCCAUCUCCGGAAGGUCAUGAAUCAAACUGCUCAAAUGACACGAAAUGACAUGAAGCUAAAUGUAAAGAUUGUAGGCUGGGUUUGUCGGGCCUAAAGGGCGUCGCAGUGUGUUUGACAUUCCAGCAUAAAAGCUGCAGACAAGAACAAUGCGCGGACACUGGACACCUGGCGUUCACCUCGUCUAUUAUUCAUCAUUUUAAAAACGAGUUCUGCAGGUUUCCCUCAAAGCCUUGUUUAUGUUGAAAUCAGAGGACCUUCACAAAAAGAGAAGCUUUAUUAGAGGAGGAGCCUGUCAGCAGCAGGCUAACAGUGCUGCUAUCCAAGGUGCUGAAAUGCCUGCAGACACCUCAUAAAAUAUUUCACUGUUAGUAUCUUUUGCAGUGCUCACUGAGGGAAAUUAA